Molecule: long non-coding RNA, 706 nt
Organism: Dreissena polymorpha
Lineage: Eukaryota; Metazoa; Mollusca; Bivalvia; Myida; Dreissenidae
Exons: 3
Source: RefSeq, a predicted model, not a curated record
AUAUAAACAAAGAAUGCAGACACCAAUGCCAAUCGAUUUUGUCAUAGAUAAUUUUACCACCAUAUACAUCUGAGUUUGAUGCACAGAGCAGCGUAGAGAGCACCGCUGCACUGCAUACUUUCAGCUUGGUCUGGGUGGUGCUGCAUCUUCUAUUCCAAACAUUUGCGUAUAGAUGUAACGUAAGGCUUUCCAGGCGCUGGGUGAUUGAGGACUGAUCGUAAGACCAAAGUUUAUGGAGGCGUUGGAAAACUUAGGCAUGCAGGCGUUGAUUAUCGACUUCUGAGAAAGCGUUAUGGGCGAGAAAAUCCUUUAAGCUAACAGCGCAGACCCUGGUGAGACGCCGCAUCAGGUUUGUUCGAAGAACGCGCCUAUAAAUACGGAUACUUCUCGUGUGGCCGGUUGACUCGUAUGUUUUAAUUUUACUUCCAUUCUUCUUUUGGUUUUCUGUUUUGUAUCUAUAGGUUUAUGACCAGCAAUAUGUAAUAAUGUAAAAUAAGCCGCGUAAACUCCGCGUAACAUCCCGUACUGCAUGUGAUGCAGCUAAGAACUGCACAGAAAAAAAGACAUUCGCUAUCCUUAAUCUCAUUCAUUGAACUAUCAACGCCGUAUAUCUUUUUUUAAAGAUAUUUCUUGUUGUAUUUAAAGAUGGACGACAGAUAACCGAAGACGAGAACUUAUUUUGGCCUUGCCAAUAUAAAUAAUGCAU